AGAGUUUGAUCAUGGCUCAGGACGAACGCUGGCGGCGUGCUUAACACAUGCAAGUCGAACGGAAAGGCCCGCUUUCGGGUACUCGAGUGGCGAACGGGUGAGUAACACGUGGGCAACCUGCCCUCAGCUCUGGGAUAACUCCGGGAAACCGGUGCUAAUACUGGAUAUCGACUUCUGCCUCGCAUGGGGUGUUGUUGAAAGUUUUUCGGCUGGGGAUGGGCCCGCGGCCUAUCAGCUUGUUGGUGGGGUGAUGGCCUACCAAGGCGACGACGGGUAGCCGGCCUGAGAGGGCGACCGGCCACACUGGGACUGAGACACGGCCCAGACUCCUACGGGAGGCAGCAGUGGGGAAUAUUGCGCAAUGGGCGGAAGCCUGACGCAGCGACGCCGCGUGAGGGAUGACGGCCUUCGGGUUGUAAACCUCUUUCAGCUCUGACGAAGCGAGAGUGACGGUAGGAGCAGAAGAAGCACCGGCCAACUACGUGCCAGCAGCCGCGGUAAUACGUAGGGUGCAAGCGUUGUCCGGAAUUAUUGGGCGUAAAGAGCUCGUAGGCGGUUUGUCGCGUCGAAUGUGAAAACCCGGGGCUCAACCCCGGGCCUGCAUUCGAUACGGGCAGNCUAGAGUUCGGUAGGGGAGUCUGNNAUUCCUGGUGUAGCGGUGAANUNCGCAGA
RNAcentral lists this ribosomal RNA (672 nucleotides) under uncultured bacterium. Its description in RNAcentral is "bacterial SSU rRNA". It matches the Rfam family "Bacterial small subunit ribosomal RNA", at positions 8 to 694 of the family's 1533-position model. The record is from RNAcentral.